CAAGUCGAACGGCAGCACGGGUGCUUGCACCUGGUGGCGAGUGGCGAACGGGUGAGUAAUACAUCGGAACAUGUCCUGUAGUGGGGGAUAGCCCGGCGAAAGCCGGAUUAAUACCGCAUACGAUCUACGGAUGAAAGCGGGGGACCUUCGGGCCUCGCGCUAUAGGGUUGGCCGAUGGCUGAUUAGCUAGUUGGUGGGGUAAAGGCCUACCAAGGCGACGAUCAGUAGCUGGUCUGAGAGGACGACCAGCCACACUGGGACUGAGACACGGCCCAGACUCCUACGGGAGGCAGCAGUGGGGAAUUUUGGACAAUGGGCGAAAGCCUGAUCCAGCAAUGCCGCGUGUGUGAAGAAGGCCUUCGGGUUGUAAAGCACUUUUGUCCGGAAAGAAAUCCUUGGUUCUAAUAUAGCCGGGGGAUGACGGUACCGGAAGAAUAAGCACCGGCUAACUACGUGCCAGCAGCCGCGGUAAUACGUAGGGUGCGAGCGUUAAUCGGAAUUACUGGGCGUAAAGCGUGCGCAGGCGGUUUGCUAAGACCGAUGUGAAAUCCCCGGGCUCAACCUGGGAACUGCAUUGGUGACUGGCAGGCUAGAGUAUGGCAGAGGGGGGUAGAAUUCCACGUGUAGCAGUGAAAUGCGU
This 640-nucleotide ribosomal RNA is filed under the name uncultured beta proteobacterium. Its description in RNAcentral is "bacterial SSU rRNA". It matches the Rfam family "Bacterial small subunit ribosomal RNA", at positions 58 to 691 of the family's 1533-position model. Lineage: Bacteria; Pseudomonadati; Pseudomonadota; Betaproteobacteria. The record is from RNAcentral.